GUCCACGCCGUAAACGAUGGGUACUAGGUGUCUGGGGGAGCGACCCCUGGUGGCCGGCGCUAACGCAUGAAGUACCCCGCCUGGGGAGGUACGGCCGCAAGGCUGAAACUCAAAGGAAUUGACGGGGGCCCCGGCACAAGCGGUGGAGCAUGUGGUUUAAUUCGACGCAACGCGAAGAACCUUACCUAGGCUUGACAUGCUGGAGAAAGCUCGCAGAAACGUGAGCCCCUCUUCGGAGUUCCAGCACAGAUGCUGCAUGGCUGUCGU
This 267-nucleotide ribosomal RNA is filed under the name uncultured bacterium. Its description in RNAcentral is "partial 16S ribosomal RNA". It matches the Rfam family "Bacterial small subunit ribosomal RNA", at positions 793 to 1055 of the family's 1533-position model. The record is from RNAcentral.